Molecule: ribosomal RNA, 523 nt
Filed under: uncultured bacterium
Lineage: Bacteria
Description: bacterial SSU rRNA
Rfam family: Bacterial small subunit ribosomal RNA
Source: RNAcentral
AGAGUUUGAUCCUGGCUCAGGAUGAACGCUAGCGGCAGGCUUAACACAUGCAAGUCGAGGGGUAUAAUGGCUUCGGCUGUUAGAGACCGGCAAACGGGUGCGGAGCACGUACGCAACAUACCUUUUUCACGAGAAUAGCCCAGAGAAAUUUGGAUUAAUACUCGAUGGUAUUAUCUAGUGGCAUCACGAGAUAAUUAAAGAAAUUCGGAAAAAGAUUGGCGUGCGUCCCAUUAGCUAGUUGGCGGGGUAACGGCCCACCAAGGCGACGAUGGGUAGCUGAUGUGAGAGGAUGAUCAGCCACACUGGGACUGAGACACGGCCCAGACUCCUACGGGAGGCAGCAGUGGGGAAUCUUGGACAAUGGGCGCAACCCUGAUCCAGCCAUUCCGCGUGAGUGAAGAAGGCCUUCGGGUUGUAAAGCUCUUUUGUCCGGAACGAAACGGGUAAGGCUAAUACCUUUGCCUACUGACGGUACCGGAAGAAUAAGCACCGGCUAACUACGUGCCAGCCGCCGCGGUAAUAC